Molecule: ribosomal RNA, 312 nt
Filed under: Triticum aestivum (bread wheat)
Lineage: Eukaryota; Viridiplantae; Streptophyta; Magnoliopsida; Poales; Poaceae
Description: partial small subunit ribosomal RNA
Source: RNAcentral
AUGGUGGUAACAAAUUGCUAUACUAGUUCCAGCAAAAAAAACAAACAUAGUUGCAAAAUCUGGGUUGAUUCCAACAAAAAAAAAUCAAAUACAAUGGUAGCAAAAAUUAGAGCUGGUUCCAGCAAAAAGCCUUCGUGGUUCCAGCAAAAAAACUCGCCGGAUCUCCAGCACUUGUCGCCGCCUCCACCUCCGGCAGCUGCUGGUUGUAGCAACCAUGGCUGCUGGUUCCAGCAUCGUCGGACUCUGCUCCAGCACCACGGCCUGCCCCCUGAUGCGGCAGCCGCCGUCUUGAGCAGUUGCGGAUGCAGCUGA